Molecule: ribosomal RNA, 253 nt
Filed under: uncultured bacterium
Lineage: Bacteria
Description: partial 16S ribosomal RNA
Rfam family: Bacterial small subunit ribosomal RNA
Source: RNAcentral
UACGUAGGGUGCAGGCGUUAAUCGGAAUUACUGGGCGUAAAGCGUGCGCAGGCGGUUAUGCAAGACAGAUGUGAAAUCCCCGGGCUUAACCUGGGAACUGCAUUUGUGACUGCAUGGCUAGAGUGCGGCAGAGGGGGAUGGAAUUCCGCGUGUAGCAGUGAAAUGCGUAGAUAUGCGGAGGAACACCGAUGGCGAAGGCAAUCCCCUGGGCCUGCACUGACGCUCAUGCGCGAAAGCGUGGGGAGCAAACAGG